This 286-nucleotide ribosomal RNA is filed under the name uncultured Burkholderiales bacterium. RNAcentral describes it as "partial 16S ribosomal RNA". It matches the Rfam family "Bacterial small subunit ribosomal RNA", at positions 505 to 783 of the family's 1533-position model. Lineage: Bacteria; Pseudomonadati; Pseudomonadota; Betaproteobacteria; Burkholderiales. The record is from RNAcentral.
GUGCCAGCAGCCUCGGUUAUACGUAGGGUGCCGAUGCGUUAAUCGGAAUUUAUCUGGGCGUAAAGCGUGCGUCAGGCGGUUAUGUAAGACAGAUGUGAAAUCCCCGGGCUCAACUCUGGGAACUGCAUUAGUGACUGCAUAGCUGGAGUACGGUCAGAUGGGGGAUGGAAUUCCGCGUGUAGCAGUGAAAUGCGUAGGUAUGCGGAGGAACACCGAUGGCGAAGGCAAUCCCUGGGCCUGUACUGACGCUCAUGCACGAAAGCGUGGGGAGCAAACAGGAUUAGAU